UGAGUCUCCAAAGACAUCACUGAAGCCAAUUUUGCAGCCUGUGUUUUCAGGAAAUAGAAAACAGAUAUGUUGGAUGGCUGACAAUUGGGAUCUAAUUUUGACUAGAAUAAGCUCGACUGGCAUGGAAGAGACAGAAAAGGAGAAGACACAGACAGGGAGAAUGCUUAUGAAGAUGGAACAGACUGGAUUGAUUUGUCAAGGAAAAUGUCAGGGUUCCCUAAUAACCACUGGAAGGAGAGGAGAGAAACAAUGACGAGAUCCUCCCUCAGAUAAUCCAGAAGAAACCAACUCUACCUGCACCAUGAUUUUGGACUUCUGGCCUCCAAAACUGUAAGAGAAUAAAUUUCUGUUCU
Talpa occidentalis (Iberian mole) is the source of this 353-nucleotide long non-coding RNA. RefSeq lists it as uncharacterized. Lineage: Eukaryota; Metazoa; Chordata; Mammalia; Eulipotyphla; Talpidae. The transcript has 3 exons. The record is from RefSeq and is a predicted model, not a curated record.